AAUGGGUUGUAAACUUCUUUUCUCAGAGAAGAAUCUUGACGGUAUCUGAGGAAUAAGCAUCGGCUAACUCUGUGCCAGCAGCCGCGGUAAGACAGAGGAUGCAAGCGUUAUCCGGAAUGAUUGGGCGUAAAGCGUCUGUAGGUGGCUUCAAAAGUCUCCUGUCAAAGAUCAGGGCUUAACCCUGGGCCGGCAGGAGAAACUCUGAGGCUAGAGUUUGGUAGGGGCAGAGGGAAUUCCCCGGUGGAGCGGUGAAAUGCGUAGAGAUCGGGAGGAACACCAAAGGCGACAAAGCACUCUGCUGGGCCACAACUGACACUGAGAGACGAAAGCGAGGGGAGCAAAAGGGAUUAGAUACCCCUGUAGUCAAAGGAA
This 372-nucleotide ribosomal RNA is filed under the name Chroococcus minutus ISC 35. Its description in RNAcentral is "bacterial SSU rRNA". It matches the Rfam family "Bacterial small subunit ribosomal RNA", at positions 417 to 802 of the family's 1533-position model. Lineage: Bacteria; Bacillati; Cyanobacteriota; Cyanophyceae; Chroococcales; Chroococcaceae. The record is from RNAcentral.